ACCGGAGAUCACGAUAAGGUGUCCAACUAUGGGGUUAGGUGAGUAUAUAAAUUUGGUGUCUUGAAACAUUGAAAUUUGGCGGAAAUAUUGAGCAAAAAGGACACAGGAAAGCAAUGAGGUAGAUGACUCAUGGCGUAGACCUGGGUCUUGCGUUGACGAAGAAGAAGUGCAAGCUUACAUAUAGGGCGGGGUAUGAUAGGGCAAAGACGCUGAAAAAUCGAAGGAAGGAGGCGGAGAGAUAUAGCCAUAGCUGUCCUGCUUUGCUGUUUAAGGAAACAACUGAAGCUGUCGCACCAGUUGUUUCCUUCGCAAUCUCUUCUUGAGACGCUAAUCGUAAGCCCCUCUAAGGCUCUCUCGUUUCUCUGUUCCAACGUUUCCUGUUUGUUUGAUUUACAAAUUAAAAAGAAAACCUCUUCGGAGGAGCUUUACUUUAUUUGGAAUCAUCGAUUAAUUUUUUAAGUCAAAUCUGGAAAACGGUGAAGAAUUGGCAGUUAAGAUUAAGAAUUUUCGGAUAAUUGUGUUGUGAUUAAUCAGAUCGAACAAUUUAGGGCUUGUGAUUACUGGAAUUAUUAAGUACUUUGUAGAAUUUUGGUUUUCUUGCAGAGUCGAGGAUAAUUUAUAUGUUGAUAUAUUGAUCGCUGCUGUGAUUUCAAGCUUGUAAUCUUCCGAUAAAUCUUAGAUUUUUCAUAAGGCAGUUUUUCCCCCUUUUCCUUUUUCCCUUUUCUCUUGGGCAUUUUUGUUACACUGGACUUUUCUCAUCCAUUCCCAUCAUCAGAAGGAAAUAAAAAAAUGAUUAUAAUAGAAAUGAAAAAUAGUGGAAUUUCAAUUGAUUUCUAAGAGGAGAUAUUUUGAUUCGUGCAAGAAAUGAUAUCCAACAUGUUAAAAUUAUUAUUUUAUCCAUUCAUUUCUAUUUCUAUCAGGUGUAAAAUCUUUUUAUGGUUAAUUUUUUAUUUGUUGAGUAAAUAUUAUUUUUCUUUGCCGACCUGUGUUAUGAUGCUUUAUAAUACUUAUUUUUAUGUUAAAGAAUAAACAAUA
RNAcentral lists this long non-coding RNA (1035 nucleotides) under Vitis vinifera (wine grape). RNAcentral's name for it is "long non-coding RNA (VVIN_LNC002899)". Lineage: Eukaryota; Viridiplantae; Streptophyta; Magnoliopsida; Vitales; Vitaceae. The record is from RNAcentral.